This 419-nucleotide ribosomal RNA is filed under the name uncultured bacterium. RNAcentral describes it as "bacterial SSU rRNA". It matches the Rfam family "Bacterial small subunit ribosomal RNA", at positions 355 to 786 of the family's 1533-position model. The record is from RNAcentral.
UGGGGAAUAUUGCGCAAUGGGCGGAAGCCUGACGCGGCGACGCCGCGUGGGGGAUGACGGCCUUCGGGUUGUAAACCUCUUUCAGCAGGGACGAAGCGCAAGUGACGGUACCUGCAGAAGAAGCACCGGCCAACUACGUGCCAGCAGCCGCGGUAAUACGUAGGGUGCAAGCGUUGUCCGGAAUUAUUGGGCGUAAAGAGCUCGUAGGCGGUCUGUCGCGUCGGCUGUGAAAACCCGGAGCUCAACUCCGGGCCUGCAGUCGAUACGGGCAAACUAGAGUACUGCAGGGGAGACUGGAAUUCCUGGUGUAGCGGUGAAAUGCGCAGAUAUCAGGAGGAACACCGGUGGCGAAGGCGGGUCUCUGGGCAGUAACUGACGCUGAGGAGCGAAAGCGUGGGGAGCGAACAGGAUUAGAUACC